UGUUAGGUUGGUGCAAAAGUAAUUGUGGGUUUUGCCAUUACUUUCAAUGGCAAAAAUGACAAUUACUUUUGCACCAACCUAAUAUAU
Chlorocebus sabaeus (green monkey) is the source of this 87-nucleotide microRNA precursor. Lineage: Eukaryota; Metazoa; Chordata; Mammalia; Primates; Cercopithecidae. The record is from Ensembl.